UACGUAGGUCCCGAGCGUUGUCCGGAUUUAUUGGGCGUAAAGCGAGCGCAGGUGGUUUAUUAAGUCUGGUGUAAAAGGCAGUGGCUCAACCAUUGUAUGCAUUGGAAACUGGUAGACUUGAGUGCAGGAGAGGAGAGCGGAAUUCCAUGUGUAGCGGUGAAAUGCGUAGAUAUAUGGAGGAACACCGGUGGCGAAAGCGGCUCUCUGGCCUGUAACUGACACUGUGGCUCGAAAGCGUGGGGAGCAAACAGG
Molecule: ribosomal RNA, 252 nt
Filed under: uncultured bacterium
Lineage: Bacteria
Description: partial 16S ribosomal RNA
Rfam family: Bacterial small subunit ribosomal RNA
Source: RNAcentral